RNAcentral lists this ribosomal RNA (274 nucleotides) under uncultured bacterium. RNAcentral describes it as "partial 16S ribosomal RNA". It matches the Rfam family "Bacterial small subunit ribosomal RNA", at positions 523 to 796 of the family's 1533-position model. The record is from RNAcentral.
AGACGGAGGGGGCUAGCGUUGUACGGAAUUACUGGGCGUAAAGCGCGCGUAGGCGGUCCGUUUAGUUAGGCGUGAAAGCCCUGGGCUCAACCCGGGAACUGCGUUUAAAACUGGCGGACUAGGGUCCGGGAGAGGGUGGCGGAAUUCCCAGUGUAGAGGUGAAAUUCGUAGAUAUUGGGAAGAACACCAGUGGCGAAGGCGGCCACCUGGCCCGGUACUGACGCUGAGGUGCGAAAGCGUGGGGAGCAAACAGGAUUAGAAACCCCGGUAGUCC